This is a long non-coding RNA of Zeugodacus cucurbitae (melon fly), 403 nucleotides long. RefSeq lists it as uncharacterized. The transcript has 2 exons. The record is from RefSeq and is a predicted model, not a curated record. NCBI's taxonomy places the organism in Eukaryota, Metazoa, Arthropoda, Insecta, Diptera, Tephritidae.
AAAUACCGGGCUUCCAACGCUCAAACACAUUAAAUAUUCAUUAAACCACGGACUUUAACAACAAUGGCAGCCACAAGGAAAACAAUUUUGAUCUGCAUUGCGAUGCCUCUUCUACUAGCGGCAUUGUGUACGUUAUUGCCCGGCGCUGAAGCCCGCAAUGUCGCAUUGGUUAAACGCUCCCCACUGUUUCCGAUUCCCCAGCCUACCAUUGACCUUAUUGUACGAUUGGAACCAGUAUUGAGGACUCUUCUGGGUAUCUUAUCACCAAUAGUGGGCUAAGACAGCAGCACAACCACAUACUUCCUGUUCUUGAAACUAUAAACAGUUCUCCAAACAUGUAUAUGUAAACAAAUAUAAAACCCAGGAUCAAGUCAACAAUAAAUUGAAUAUUAUGAAAUUUAAA